AAAGGAGUCCCUAUUGUCAAAAAAUAUUUCAGAUGUGAAGGGAUUCUUUCUUCAACAAUCUCAUCAUUACUCAUUGAAUAUUCCAUGAAUGCAAUCUUUCUUCUUCCCCAUUGUUCUAAUUUGAAAAGUUGAAAGAAUGGAACACGUGUAAACAUCAGAUUUUGCAUGGAAACUCAACCAUCAUGCCCUUUUAUUCUUUCCCUUCUAUAUAUUCUAUUCUAAUUCAUACGUUCCUUAUACUGCUUUCCCAUAUCCCUCAAAUUCUUCUUUGGUUCCAAACUUUUCUAUGGAUCCAGUAAAUCAUCAAAACCUCCAUUACAAGAGUUUCUUCCCUGUUCAUAGUCGCUAUUUAGAAGUAUAUUCAGGUUUCCUCAAUCCUUUUCUUCCUUUUAUUCUUAACCCAUCCUCUGAUUAUUUUCAUCUUUUUUCAGAGGGAAGGUGAACUGAGUCGUGCGUAUGUGAGGCUUAACAGGAACAAGUUAAAGCCACAAUGGGUUUUGAUUGAUGAUGGGGGAAGCAGCAUAUUGUGGGAUAUAACAUGAAUGAAGAAAGGCCUCGCCUAACCACUGGUUGGUAUGAAUUGAGGCAAUACUAUAACCUGGAGGGGAAGUGCAUCAUUUGGUUCCAUGAGGUUGAUGAUUCCAUUUUCCACAUUGAUGUUCGUGAUCAAAACCAUAGAGAAAUUCAAGUUCCUGGAGGUCCUCCUCCAAUAGAUUGGGGCGUGAAUGAUGAUAUUGAUGCUCUUGGUGUUCUUGAUUUUUAUCCUGAAUUUAGGUUUUUCAUGUCAAUCUUAUCAAGGCUCUCCUCCUCUAUAUCAGAGAAAUCCUUCAUCUAUUCCUCCUCCUGUUUCUGAUCCUCUUAAUUUCUCUGACGAUGAUCAAAAUUUUGUUCAAGAGGGUGACAUGCAUCUUGAUGUUCCUAAACAAAAUGUUGUUCAAGAAGCAAUCUUUGAAUGUGAAUUUUAUACUCAGAUCACUCACGAGUUUUACUCAUCAAAUCAAGUUGUAAGUUUAUUUGUGAUUAACUAUUUUUUUUUGUUAUAUGAAUUUCGUAAUUUUUUGUAGUGUUUUUUCAUCUUUGUUACAUACUAAAGCUUUCCAAUGUUCUCAUACAUAUUCUCUAUUUUUUGUUUAAAUGUAGCCUGUUCCCCAAAAUGCUGCUUCAUAUCUCAAAGAAGUUAGGGUUGAUAAGUGGGUUUUGCAUGAAAAGGGUUGAAGAUACUUAUAGUCGAUGACAAAGGAGUAGUAUCUAAUUGUACUCGGAAUGUCAUGUAUGAAGAAGUAUUCCAGAACAUAUGAAUGGUUAGAUUAUCUAUCUUAGAUUUUAUACUUCUUUGUAUCAUGCACAUUGUAAGUAGCCGUGAAAUAUAUUUUUAUGUCUUAUUUAAACCAUUUUCCAAAUUUUUGCAUAUUCAAUAAACUACUAAUGAG
RNAcentral lists this long non-coding RNA (1430 nucleotides) under Lotus japonicus. RNAcentral describes it as "long non-coding RNA (LJAP_LNC000282)". The record is from RNAcentral. Lineage: Eukaryota; Viridiplantae; Streptophyta; Magnoliopsida; Fabales; Fabaceae.